Molecule: small nuclear RNA, 108 nt
Organism: Erinaceus europaeus (western European hedgehog)
Lineage: Eukaryota; Metazoa; Chordata; Mammalia; Eulipotyphla; Erinaceidae
Source: Ensembl
GUGGUCUGUGAACAAAAUCACAUAUACUAAAAUUGAACAAUACAGAGAAGGUUAGCAGAGCCCCUGCACAAGGAUGACACACGAAUUCAUGAAACGUUCCAUAUGUUU